GAACUUAGCAGAGAUGCUUUGGUGCCUUCGGGAACUCUGAGACAGGUGCUGCAUGGCUGUCGUCAGCUCGUGUUGUGAAAUGUUGGGUUAAGUCCCGCAACGAGCGCAACCCUUUAUCCUUUGUUGCCAGCGGUCCGGCCGGGAACUCAAAGGAGACUGCCAGUGAUAAACUGGAGGAAGGUGGGGAUGACGUCAAGUCAUCAUGGCCCUUACGAGUAGGGCUACACACGUGCUACAAUGGCGCAUACAAAGAGAAGCGACCUCGCGAGAGCAAGCGGACCUCAUAAAAUGCGUCGUAGUCCGGAUUGGAGUCUGCAACUCGACUCCAUGAAGUCGGAAUCGCUAGUAAUCGUAGAUCAGAAUGCUACGGUGAAUACGUUCCCGGGCCUUGUACACACCGCCCGUCACACCAUGGGAGUGGGUUGCAAAAGAAGUAGGUAGCUUAACCUUCGGGAGGGCGCUUACCACUUUGUGAUUCAUGACUGGGGUGAAGUCGUAACAAGGUAGGCGUAGCGAG
Molecule: ribosomal RNA, 517 nt
Filed under: uncultured bacterium
Lineage: Bacteria
Description: bacterial SSU rRNA
Rfam family: Bacterial small subunit ribosomal RNA
Source: RNAcentral